RNAcentral lists this unclassified non-coding RNA (472 nucleotides) under Peltigera sp. 'aff. neorufescens'. Its description in RNAcentral is "Peltigera aff. neorufescens sequence contains ITS1, 5.8S rRNA gene and ITS2". The stretch from base 105 to 259 matches the Rfam family "5.8S ribosomal RNA". The record is from RNAcentral. Lineage: Eukaryota; Fungi; Ascomycota; Lecanoromycetes; Peltigerales; Peltigeraceae.
CCCCCCCCCAAAAAAAAAAAAAAAAAAAAAACGAAACAAAACAAACAAAAAAAAUCUGAUAAACAAAAAUAUUGAUGUCUGAAGUAAAAAAUUUAAACAAGCAAAACUUUCAACAACGGAUCUCUUGGUUCCGGCAUCGAUGAAGAACGCAGCGAAAUGCGAUAAGUAAUGUGGACCGCAGUACUCAGCGACUCAUCGAAUCUUUGAACGCACAUUGCGCCACUUGGUAUCACCAAAGGGCACACCUGUUCGAGCGUCAUCAUACAUCGCAUCAAGUCAAGGGCCCGCUUGCAAUUGGGCUUUGUCUGCUUUAUGUAGAAGUCUAAAAGUCAGUGACGGUUAAGUUAGGCAUUCCAGCGUAGUGGUUUAAAUUAGCUGUUGAAAUGUCUUUUACAUGACAGUCAAAACAUCCAGGGUAUCUGCUGGCGGAGACCCCCCCCCAGGGUUUCCGUUGGCGGAGACCAUUGGAUUU